GACUAGAGUAUGGCAGGGGUAGAGGGAAUUUCUAGUGUAGCGGUGAAACGCGUAGAUAUUAGAAAGAACACCGGUGGCGAAAGCGCUCUACUGGACCAUUACUGACACUCAGAGGCGAAAGCUAGGGUAGCAAAAGGGAUUAGAUACCCCUGUAGUCCUAGCCGUAAACGAUGGAUACUAGAUGUUGUGCUUUAUGUACAGUAUCGUAGCUAACGCGUUAAGUAUCCCGCCUGGGGAGUACGCUCGCAAGGGUGAAACUCAAAGGAAUUGACGGGGGCCCGCACAAGCGGUGGAGCAUGUGGUUUAAUUCGAUGCAACGCGAAGAACCUUACCAGGACUUGACAUACUACAAAUUCUUUUGAGAAAAAGAAGUGCCUUCGGGAAUGUAGAUACAGGUGGUGCAUGGCUGUCGUCAGCUCGUGUCGUGAGAUGUUGGGUUAAGUCCCGCAACGAGCGCAACCCUUAUUUUUAGUUACCAAUUCGUUGGGUUCUCUAGAAAGACUGCCGGUGACAAACCGGAGGAAGGUGAGGAUGACGUCAAGUCAGCAUGCCCCUUAUGUCCUGGGCUACACACGUGCUACAAUGGUUAAGACAAAGAGUCGCGAGCUCGCAAGAGUCAGCUAAUCUCAUAAACUUAGCCUAAGUUCAGAUUGUAGGCUGCAACUCGCCUACAUGAAGUUGGAAUCGCUAGUAAUCGCUGGUCAGCCAUACAGCGGUGAAUCCGUUCCCGGGCCUUGUACACACCGCCCGUCACACCAUGGGAGCUGGUCAUACCCGAAACCGUUUGCUUAACCGUUUGGAGAGCGGCGUCUAAGGUAGGGCUAGUGACUGGGGUGAAGUCGUAACAAGGUAACCGU
This 857-nucleotide ribosomal RNA is filed under the name uncultured bacterium. RNAcentral describes it as "bacterial SSU rRNA". It matches the Rfam family "Bacterial small subunit ribosomal RNA", at positions 639 to 1503 of the family's 1533-position model. The record is from RNAcentral.